CUAAUCUUCUAAUCCUUUUCUUUUUAGUUGUUAGGUUCUACAUGUGUUUAAGAUAGCCUAAAAUCCGCCUAUGCCAUAAAAAGGUAGCCCAGAGAGUUGAAGUUGGUUAGAAAAUAAGUCUACAGAGGGUGAUACCGGAGAGCACAAACCUUAUUCAUCUUGACAAAGGGUAUAUAAAGAAUAAGGUUUAAGACUUUUAAUGAACACCUUGCACAAAGCGUGCUUCUCAAAAGAUUUGGUUUCGUUGUAUUUUCAUGUCUUCAUUUAUGCCUUUACCUUGUCAAAUACAUUUAUGAUAAUAGUUCAGUAAGGAAUGGCUUGAAGGGAUUUGCAAUAGAUUUAAUCUAGAUGAUUGUACAGGCUUGAGCAUAAGGACAUCAUUUCUUCUUCUUAUCCUUCUUCUUCUUUUGGUUUCAUGUUUAGCGAUUGAAUGCUACUCUCAAGGGAGUUUCGUGGUCUACUAUGUACAUGUGAGGCAUGGUGGAAGGAAGAGGCCAGUUCCCAAGGGUAUUGUGUAUGGUAAGAAGAAUUAUCAAGUUAUCAGGUACCUGAGUAAAUGGCAUCCAAGGACAAAAACUCUAACCUUUCAUCGUGUAAAGUUGUGAAAGUAAUUGGAAACUGUUUAUCCAUGUUUUUAUUUUUGUUUUUGUUUCGGUUCGGGAAAGGAGCUACUUUUGUUGGCUAACUCCAAUUUGGUUUUCAAGGAUUGUGCUUUUCAAGCUAAAUAAAUUAGGG
RNAcentral lists this long non-coding RNA (735 nucleotides) under Olea europaea subsp. europaea. The record is from RNAcentral. Lineage: Eukaryota; Viridiplantae; Streptophyta; Magnoliopsida; Lamiales; Oleaceae.